GAUGAACGCUGGCGGCGUGCCUAAUACAUGCAAGUCGAGCGAAUGAAGAGGAGCUUGCUCCUCUGAUUUAGCGGCGGACGGGUGAGUAACACGUGGGUAAUCUGCCUGUAAGUCGGGGAUAACUCCGGGAAACCGGGGCUAAUACCGGAUAAUAAGAAGAAACGCAUGUUUCUUUUUUGAAAGUCGGUUUCGGCUGACACUUACAGAUGAGCCCGCGGCGCAUUAGCUAGUUGGUGAGGUAACGGUUCACCAAGGCGACGAUGCGUAGCCGACCUGGGAGGGUGAUCGGCCAAACUGGGACUGAGACACGGCCCAGACUCCUACGGGAGGCAGCAGUAGGGAAUCUUCGGCAAUGGGCGAAAGCCUGACCGAGCAACGCCGCGUGAGCGAUGAAGGCCUUCGGGUCGUAAAGCUCUGUUGUUAGAGAAGAACAAGUACGAGAGUAACUGCUCGUACCUUGACGGUACCUAACCAGAAAGCCACGGCUAACUACGUGCCAGCCGCCGCGGUAA
RNAcentral lists this ribosomal RNA (512 nucleotides) under uncultured bacterium. RNAcentral's name for it is "partial 16S ribosomal RNA". It matches the Rfam family "Bacterial small subunit ribosomal RNA", at positions 28 to 523 of the family's 1533-position model. The record is from RNAcentral.